This 484-nucleotide ribosomal RNA is filed under the name uncultured bacterium. RNAcentral's name for it is "partial 16S ribosomal RNA". It matches the Rfam family "Bacterial small subunit ribosomal RNA", at positions 30 to 507 of the family's 1533-position model. The record is from RNAcentral.
AUUGAACGCUGGCGGCAGGCCUAACACAUGCAAGUCGAGCGGAUGAAGGGAGCUUGCUCCUGGAUCCAGCGGCGGACGGGUGAGUAAUGCCUAGGAAUCUGCCUGGUUGUGGGGGAUAAUGUCCGGAAACGGGUGCUAAUACUGCAUAAGUCCUGCGGGAGAAAGUGGGGGAUCUUCGGACCUCACGCUAUCAGAUGAGCCUAGGUCGGAUUAGCUAGUUGGUGGGGUAAAGGCCUACCAAGGCGACGAUCCGUAACUGGUCUGAGAGGAUGAUCGGUCACACUGGAGCUGGGACACGGCCCAGACUCCUACGGGAGGCAGCAGUGGGGAAUAUUAGACAAUGGGCGAAAGCCUGGUCCAGCCAUGCCGCGUGUGUGAAGAAGGUCUUCGGAUUGUAAAGCACUUUAAGUUGGGAGGAAGGGCAGUAAGUUAAUACCUUGCUGUUUUGACGUUACCAACAGAAUAAGCACCGGCUAACUUCGUG